GUGACUGCGUACCUUUUGUAUAAUGGGUCAGCGACUUAUAUUUGGUAGCGAGGUUAAGCGAAUAGCGGAGCCGUAGCGAAAGCGAGUGUUAACUGCGCGAAUUAGUUGCCAGGUAUAGACCCGAAACCCGGUGAUCUAGCCAUGGGCAGGUUGAAGGUUGAGUAACAUCAACUGGAGGACCGAACCCACUAACGUUGAAAAGUUAGGGGAUGACUUGUGGCUGGGGGUGAAAGGCCAAUCAAACCGGGAGAUAGCUGGUUCUCCCCGAAAUCUAUUUAGGUAGAGCCUCGGACGAAUUCCAUUGGGGGUAGAGCACUGUUAAGGCUAGGGGGUCAUCCCGACUUACCAACCCUUUGCAAACUCCGAAUACCAAUGAGAACUAUCCGGGAGACACACGGCGGGUGCUAACGUCCGUCGUGAAGAGGGAAACAACCCAGACCGCCAGCUAAGGUCCCAAAAUAUUGCUAAGUGGGAAACGAUGUGGGAAGGCUCAGACAGCUAGGAGGUUGGCUUAGAAGCAGCCACCCUUUAAAGAAAGCGUAAUAGCUCACUAGUCGAGUCGGCCUGCGCGGAAGAUGUAACGGGGCUAAGCAAUAUACCGAAGCUGCGGCA
This 612-nucleotide ribosomal RNA is filed under the name Alteromonas ponticola. Its description in RNAcentral is "Alteromonas sp. MYP5 partial 23S ribosomal RNA". It matches the Rfam family "Bacterial large subunit ribosomal RNA", at positions 593 to 1207 of the family's 2925-position model. Lineage: Bacteria; Pseudomonadati; Pseudomonadota; Gammaproteobacteria; Alteromonadales; Alteromonadaceae. The record is from RNAcentral.